AGCAGAAGCCGCGGUAAUACGUAGGUGGCAAGCGUUGUCCGGAAUUAUUGGGCGUAAAGGGCUCGCAGGCGGUUUCUUAAGUCUGAUGUGAAAGCCCCCGGCUCAACCGGGGAGGGUCAUUGGAAACUGGGAAACUUGAGUGCAGAAGAGGAGAGUGGAAUUCCACGUGUAGCGGUGAAAUGCGUAGAGAUGUGGAGGAACACCAGUGGCGAAGGCGACUCUCUGGUCUGUAACUGACGCUGAGGAGCGAAAGCGUGGGGAGCGAACAGGAUUAGAUACCCCCGUAGUCCCUGUCUCUUAUAC
RNAcentral lists this ribosomal RNA (303 nucleotides) under uncultured bacterium. RNAcentral's name for it is "partial 16S ribosomal RNA". It matches the Rfam family "Bacterial small subunit ribosomal RNA", at positions 507 to 807 of the family's 1533-position model. The record is from RNAcentral.